This 587-nucleotide ribosomal RNA is filed under the name uncultured bacterium. RNAcentral's name for it is "bacterial SSU rRNA". It matches the Rfam family "Bacterial small subunit ribosomal RNA", at positions 338 to 916 of the family's 1533-position model. The record is from RNAcentral.
CCUACGGGAGGCAGCAGUGGGGAAUUUUGGACAAUGGGCGCAAGCCUGGUCCAGCCAUGCCGCGUGUGUGAAGAAGGCCUUCGGGUUGUAAAGCACUUUCGGCCGGAACGAAAUCGCGCGGAUUAAUAACCCGCGUGGAUGACGGUACCGGAAGAAGAAGCACCGGCUAACUACGUGCCAGCAGCCGCGGUAAUACGUAGGGUGCGAGCGUUAAUCGGAAUUACUGGGCGUAAAGGGUGCGCAGGCGGUCCUGCAAGUCAGGCGUGAAAUCCCCGGGCUUAACCUGGGAAUGGCGCUUGAAACUACGGGACUGGAGUAUGGCAGAGGGAGGUGGAAUUCCACGUGUAGCGGUGAAAUGCGUAGAGAUGUGGAGGAACACCGAUGGCGAAGGCAGCCUCCUGGACCAAUACUGACGCUCAUGCACGAAAGCGUGGGGAGCAAACAGGAUUAGAUACCCUGGUAGUCCACGCCCUAAACGAUGAUGACUAGUUGUUGGAGGAGUUAAAUCCUUUAGUAACGCAGCUAACGCGAGAAGUCAUCCGCCUGGGGAGUACGGUCGCAAGAUUAAAACUCAAAGGAAUUGACGG